RNAcentral lists this ribosomal RNA (371 nucleotides) under uncultured organism. Its description in RNAcentral is "partial 16S ribosomal RNA". It matches the Rfam family "Bacterial small subunit ribosomal RNA", at positions 527 to 896 of the family's 1533-position model. The record is from RNAcentral.
GUAGGUGGCAAGCGUUGUCCGGAAUUAUUGGGCGUAAAGCGCGCGCAGGCGGUUCUUUAAGUCUGAUGUGAAAGCCCACGGCUCAACCGUGGAGGGUCAUUGGAAACUGGAGAACUUGAGUACAGAAGAGGAAAGCGGAAUUCCACGUGUAGCGGUGAAAUGCGUAGAGAUGUGGAGGAACACCAGCGGCGAAGGCGGCUUUCUGGUCUGUAACUGACGCUGAGGCGCGAAAGCGUGGGGGAGCAAACAGGAUUAGAUACCCUGGUAGUCCACGCCGUAAACGAUGAAUGCUAAGUGUUAGGGGGUUUCCGCCCCUUAGUGCUGCAGCUAACGCAUUAAGCACUCCGCCUGGGAGUACGGCCGCAAGGCUG